GGGUGAUUCCCCUCUAAUCAGGGACUGAUUUAGACCUGGGACACCAGGUGGGUGCAAUUACUUAUCAGAUCGAACAGAAAAGCAGCAGUAGUCCGGCUCUCUUCGGGUGAGAUUGGACUACCCCUGGCGUAGAUACUGUGCGUACUUGAUUCAGAUCAACUUUCAGAUGCAUCUUCUAUGCUGUUCAGAUGAAUAACCCUUUAAUGGGGUCUAUAUAGCACAGAUUGUCAUACCAUGCCAUUGUUUUUCUAAGAAUGCAGUAUACUGAAAUAUUCUUUCUCUCCUUUCUUAUCGUCAUUGAUGCAAUCUCUGUGGUUACCACCCUUAAUGUUACCACUGGAUUCAACCUAAAACUGAAAUCAACUUCAUAGUCCGUGACGUCUGAAACAGAGAGGACUUGUGAAGGCAUACUAAAGACACAUUGGCUGGUGUUUGAGGAGAUUAGGGGACGACAGUAACAGACACAUUGGCUGGUGUUUGAGGAGAUUAGGGGACGACAGUAACAGACACAUUGGCUGGUGUUUGAGGAGAUUAGGGGACGACAGUAACAGACACAUUGGCUGGUGUUUGAGGUGAUGAGGGGACGACAGUAACAGACACAUUGGCUGGUGUUUGAGGAGAUUAGGGGACGACAGUAACAGACACAUUGGCUGGUGUUUGAGGAGAUUAGGGGACGACAGUAACAGACACAUUGGCUGGUGUUUGAGGUGAUGAGGGGACGACAGUAACAGACACAUUGGCUGGUGUUUGAGGUGAUGAGGGGACGACAGUAACAGACACAUUGGCUGGUGUUUGAGGAGAUUAGGGGACGACAGUAACAGACACAUUGGCUGGUGUUUGAGGGGACGACAGUAACAGACACAUUGGCUGGUGUUUGAGGGGACGACAGUAACAGACACAUUGGCUGGUGUUUGAGGAGAUGAGGGGACGACAGUAACAGACACAUUGGCUGGUGUUUGAGGAGAUUAGGGGACGACAGUAACAGACACAUUGGCUGGUGUUUGAGGUGAUGAGGGGACGACAGUAACAGACACAUUGGCUGGUGUUUGAGGAGAUUAGGGGACGACAGUAACAGACACAUUGGCUGGUGUUUGAGGAGAUUAGGGGACGACGACAGUAACAGACACAUUGGCUGGUGUUUGAGGAGAUUAGGGGACGACGACAGUAACAGACACAUUGGCUGGUGUUUGAGGAGAUGAGGGGAUGACAGUAACAGACACAUUGGCUGGUGUUUGAGGAGAUUAGGGGACGACGACAGUAACAGACACAUUGGCUGGUGUUUGAGGAGAUGAGGGGACGACAGUAACAGACACAGACGCUACUGAACCCUUUGUGUAGGAAGUCAGACGUCAUGAUGUGUAACCUCAUCUCUUCAUGUGAGCCGCACAACGGAGACUCACUAGUAGAUAUAGAAGGCUAUGAACUCGCCGUCUCCCGCCGUCUCCCGCCGUCUCCCGCCGUCUUCCGCCGUGCUAUUUACAAACGAACACGUUGAACUGUUCUGGGGAACUAAGGUAACCUUCAUAAUGUAAAAUAAUGUGGGCGGGUGACAUGAAGAACGCAAUCUGCUUUUUCUCCUUAUCUAUUGCACAUUAAUGUGAACAAACAGCUGACCCACACACACACACACUCACUCACUCACUCACUCACUCACUCACUCACUCACUCACUCACUCACUCACUCACUCACUCACUCACUCACUCACUCACUCACUCACUCACUCACUCACUCACCAACUCUAUUAGAUAUGGGGUGAUGAUGUGGUGGUUGAGAUGUCUGACAUCCUCCCUCUGUGUCUGUGUGUGUGAUUAUUAUUAUUAUUAUUAUUAUCAUCAUAAGGCUGAGAUUGACCUCAUUACCCAGACAAGGGAAUAACAACCUGGCUGCUGGUUGGUAAAUGAGACGGAGAACCUGGCUGCUGGUUGGUAAAUGAGACAGAGAACCUGGCUGCUGGUUGAUAAAUGAGACAGAGAACCUGGCUGCUGGUUGAUAAAUGAGACAGAGAACCUGGCUGCUGGUUGGUAAAUGAGACAGAGAACCUGGUUGGUAAAUGAGACCGAGAACCUGGCUGCUGGUUGAUAAAUGAGACAGAGAACCUGGCUGCUGGUUGAUAAAUGAGACAGAGAACCUGGCUGCUGGUUGGUAAAUGAGACAGAGAACCUGGUUGGUAAAUGAGACAGAGAACCUGGCUGCUGGUUGGGAAAUGAAACAGAGAACCUGGCUGCUGGUUGGGAAAUGAGACAGAGAACCUGGCUGCUGGUUGGGAAAUGAGACAGAGAACCUGGCUGCUGGUUGAUAAAUGAGACUGAGAACCUGGCUGCUGGUUGAUAAAUGAGACAGAGAACCUGGCUGCUGGUUGGUAAAUGAGACAGAGAACCUGGCUGCUGGUUGAUAAAUGAGACUGAGAACCUGGCUGCUGGUUGGUAAAUGAGACAGAGAACCUGGCUGCUGGUUGGUAAAUGAGACAGAGAACCUGGCUGCUGGUUGAUAAAUGAGACAGAGAACCUGGCUGCUGGUUGAUAAAUGAGACAGAGAACCUGGCUGCUGGUUGAUAAAUGAGACAGAGAACCUGGCUGCUGGUUGAUAAAUGAGACAGAGAACCUGGCUGCUGGUUGGUAAAUGAGACAGAGAACCUGGCUACUGGUUGGUAAAUGAGACAGAGAACCUGGCUGCUGGUUGGUAAAUGAGACAGAGAACCUGGCUGCUGGUUGAUAAAUGAGACAGAGAACCUGGCUGCUGGUUGAUAAAUGAGACAGAGAACCUGGCUGCUGGUUGAUAAAUGAGACCGAGAACCUGGCUGCUGGUUGGGAAAUGAGACAGAGAACCUGGCUGCUGGUUGGUAAAUGAGACAGAGAACCUGGUUGAUAAAUGAGACAGAGAACCUGGCUGCUGGUUGGUAAAUGAGACAGAGAACCUGGCUGCUGGUUGGGAAAUGAGACAGAGAACCUGGCUGCUGGUUGGUAAAUGAGACAGAGAACCUGGCUGCUGGUUGGUAAAUGAGACAGAGAACCUGGCUGCUGGUUGGUAAAUGAGACAGAGAACCUGGCUGCUGGUUGGGAAAUGAGACAGAGAACCUGGCUGCUGGUUGAUAAAUGAGACAGAGAACCUGGCUGCUGGUUGGUAAAUGAGACAGAGAACCUGGCUGCUGGUUGGUAAAUGAGACAGAGAACCUGGCUGCUGGUUGAUAAAUGAGACAGAGAACCUGGCUGCUGGUUGGUAAAUGAGACAGAGAACCUGGUUGGUAAAUGAGACCGAGAACCUGGCUGCUGGUUGGUAAAUGAGACAGAGAACCUGGCUGCUGGUUGGUAAAUGAGACAGAGAACCUGGCUGCUGGUUGGGAAAUGAGACAGAGAACCUGGCUGCUGGUUGGUAAAUGAGACAGAGAACCUGGCUACUGGUUGGUAAAUGAGACAGAGAACCUGGCUGCUGGUUGGUAAAUGAGACAGAGAACCUGGCUACUGGUUGAGAAAUGAGACAGAGAACCUGGCUGCUGGUUGGUAAAUGAGACAGAGAACCUGGCUACUGGUUGGUAAAUGAGACAGAGAACCUGGCUGCUGGUUGGUAAAUGAGACAGAGAACCUGGCUGCUGGUGGAUAAAUGAGACAGAGAACCUGGCUGCUGGUUGAUAAAUGAGAUAGAGAACCUGGCUGCUGGUUGGUAAAUGAGACAGAGAACCUGGCUUCUGGUUGAUAAAUGAGACAGAGAACCUGGCUGUUGGUUGAUAAAUGAGACAGAGAACCUGGCUGCUGGUUGGUAAAUGAGACAGAGAACCUGGCUGCUGGUGGAUAAAUGAGACAGAGAACCUGGCUGCUGGUUGAUAAAUGAGACAGAGAACCUGGCUGCUGGUUG
Molecule: long non-coding RNA, 3850 nt
Organism: Salvelinus namaycush (lake trout)
Lineage: Eukaryota; Metazoa; Chordata; Actinopteri; Salmoniformes; Salmonidae
Exons: 2
Source: RefSeq, a predicted model, not a curated record